UACGAGGAUGCGAGCGUUAUCCGGAUUUAUGGUUAAAGGGUGCGUAGGUGGUUAAUUAAGUCAGCGGUGAAAGUUUUGUGGCUCAACCAUAAAAUUGCCGUUGAAACUGGUUGACUUGAGUAUAUUUGAGGUAGGCGGAAUGCGUGGUGUAGCGGUGAAAUGCAUAGAUAUCACGCAGAACUCCGAUUGCGAAGGCAGCUUACUAAACUAUAACUGACACUGAAGCACGAAAGCGUGGGAUCAAACAGG
This 249-nucleotide ribosomal RNA is filed under the name uncultured bacterium. RNAcentral describes it as "partial 16S ribosomal RNA". It matches the Rfam family "Bacterial small subunit ribosomal RNA", at positions 524 to 776 of the family's 1533-position model. The record is from RNAcentral.